UACAGAGGGGGCGAGCGUUGUUCGGAAUUACUGGGCGUAAAGGGCGCGUAGGCGGCCCGCUAAGUCGAACGUGAAAUCCCCGGGCUCAACCCGGGAACUGCGUCCGAUACUGGCAGGCUUGAAUUCGGGAGAGGGAUGCAGAAUUCCAGGUGUAGCGGUGAAAUGCGUAGAUAUCUGGAGGAAUACCGGUGGCGAAGGCGGCAUCCUGGACCGACAUUGACGCUGAUGAGCGAAAGCUAGGGGAGCAAACGGG
This 253-nucleotide ribosomal RNA is filed under the name uncultured bacterium. Its description in RNAcentral is "partial 16S ribosomal RNA". It matches the Rfam family "Bacterial small subunit ribosomal RNA", at positions 524 to 776 of the family's 1533-position model. The record is from RNAcentral.